Molecule: long non-coding RNA, 925 nt
Organism: Ficedula albicollis (Collared flycatcher)
Lineage: Eukaryota; Metazoa; Chordata; Aves; Passeriformes; Muscicapidae
Exons: 5
Source: RefSeq, a predicted model, not a curated record
GCGCCCGCGGGUACCGGCUGUGCGUGCGGACCGCAGAGCGCCUUUCGUGCCGAGGAGGGCUGCAGCUACGGGGGGGUGGUUUUCCAGUUAAAUUUCGGGGUUUGUUUUCGGCGAAAUCGCGUGUUUGGCUGAUCUUAAAAAAAAAGAAAAAGAAAAAGAAAAAGAAGUUAGAAACAAGGCGAUAUAAUUGGAUGCGUGCAAAGAUGUGCACGUGUUCGUAUUUGUGUAUUGAUUGCUGUUAUAUGCUGUCUAGAUUGCAGUACGUAAAUCUAAUGGGUGUUAUGCACACAGGAACGCAUGGAGUACACCCCAUGCGCACAGCACAGAGGUUGGAAUCCAGCUUUAACUCAAAGGCCUGAAAUAAGCAAGAUCUGGUGUUUGGAUGGAAGACAAAUUUCUUAUAUGGACCAGUGGAGGAGAAGAGGAGAAACAUAGUGCAUCUAAACUGGAAUGAAAAAGAAUUCCCAGAAGGUAAAAGCCUUAAAUUGCUGCAAGAAAUACAGCAAGAAAUGUUGAUCCUUGAGGCACAUGAAUGUACUCAGCAAGAACUUUGGCAGUCUUAAUGGUUUCUGAAUACUGGAUCUAGGCUCUGUAAAUGAUAGACUUGCUCCAGUAAAAUUGCAAAAGCCUCAGAGUGAACUGAAUUUGCACAUUUGGCUACUUGGCAUGACCUGAAUUUCAUACCACUGGUGGCUCCUCCAGUUCUUCGCAGAGGAGAGUUCUCAUCAGUUUCUGCCACUAGGUGUCCCUGUAUGUGUGCGGGAAAAUCCUGAUGGAAACAUUAACUGAAGGGGGAGAAGAAAUUGAGCAGGAGGAGUAGAAAAGAUGAUAGUAAACUUCCUUCAUGGUUUUGAGUUCUGUUUGACAACUGUCUUGCAUAUUACUGAAGAGAAAACAUGAAUGGAUUCAUGAUUGUGCAGUUAUA